AUGCCUUAAACUAAUGAGUAAGGAAAAUAACGAACCUGGGUAACGCCAGGUUCCAGGACACAUCGUUCCUGAGGAAUUUUUGUCCGGGUACAGGUCUUCCUCAGAUGACCUGCCUACUUUCGCGGGAUGUCUGCCAGAGAAAGAUCUGCCCG
Molecule: small nuclear RNA, 152 nt
Organism: Liolophura sinensis
Lineage: Eukaryota; Metazoa; Mollusca; Polyplacophora; Chitonida; Chitonidae
Product: U12 minor spliceosomal RNA
Exons: 1
Source: RefSeq, a predicted model, not a curated record